Molecule: ribosomal RNA, 253 nt
Filed under: uncultured bacterium
Lineage: Bacteria
Description: partial 16S ribosomal RNA
Rfam family: Bacterial small subunit ribosomal RNA
Source: RNAcentral
GACAGAGGGUGCAAACGUUGCUCGGAAUUACUGGGCGUAAAGCGCGUGUAGGCGGUUAUGCAAGUCAGGUGUGAAAGCCCAGGGCUCAACCCUGGAAGUGCACUUGAUACUACGUAGCUAGAGUACUGAAGAGGAGAGCGGAAUUCCCGGUGUAGAGGUGAAAUUCGUAGAUAUCGGGAGGAACACCAGUGGCGAAGGCGGCUCUCUGGACAGAUACUGACGCUGAGACGCGAAAGCGUGGGGAGCAAACAGG